GGAGUUAGCCGGUGCUUCUUCUGCGAGUAACGUCACAGAUGUAAGGUAUUAACUUACACCCUUUCCUCCUCGCUGAAAGUGCUUUACAACCCGAAGGCCUUCUUCACACACGCGGCAUGGCUGCAUCAGGGUUUCCCCCAUUGUGCAAUAUUCCCCACUGCUGCCUCCCGUAGGAGUCUGGGCCGUGUCUCAGUCCCAGUGUGGCUGAUCAUCCUCUCAGACCAGCUAGGGAUCGUCGCCUAGGUGAGCCUUUACCUCACCUACUAGCUAAUCCCACCUGGGCUUAUCCAUCAGCGCAAGGCCCGAAGGUCCCCUGCUUUCCCCCGUAGGGCGUAUGCGGUAUUAGCAGUCGUUUCCAACUGUUAUCCCCCACAAAUGGGCAAAUUCCCAGGCAUUACUCACCCGUCCGCCGCUCGUCAUCUUCAAAAGCAAGCUUUUGAAAUGUUACCGCUCGACUUGCAUGUGUUAGGCCUGCCGCCACGCGUCAUCUGAGCAUAAUACAACUACUGA
RNAcentral lists this ribosomal RNA (510 nucleotides) under uncultured bacterium. RNAcentral describes it as "partial 16S ribosomal RNA". The record is from RNAcentral.